GUAAAGGCGCGGCUGGGCCGGAGGCCGAGGCUGCGCUGCACCCAGCUCCCGGCGAUCACAUCCAGUCGGCCAGGGCCCAGGGGCCAGGUUCUUCUGUAUACAAGGAGAAAGUAUUCUCUCUCAAACAGUAAACUCCCUUUUAUCACAGAGCAGGCUCCAGGCUCAAAGCCCUAGAAAAUAUUAUAAAACUGUUGUCAAGUUUCAGCCCUCUCAAACUCUGAAUUCUCCCUUGAAUAUAUCAGUAUCAAAGAAGAGAAAUAUAGAGAAGGCAACAGUAUUAUAAGGGGUGGCUUCUCAAAAUGCAUAAGAUGGGGCCUGGGCUUUAAUGAAAAGGUAGAAUUCAGAAAUUACUAAGUGGAUUCACAACUUAGGAAGAGAUUACAGAGUACCUCAUCUCCAAAUGCAUGUCAUAUUCUAGGCAUGCCAAAUGAGUUUCCUCUACUGUGUUACCUCCAAUUCAUUGGUCUGAGUUCAACGGAGAGUGCCACCAUCCAUUGGUGAUGCCUGUCACAGGUCAGAGAUGGGGUGAAGGGAUCAUGUGUAUCACAUGCUUGCCUCACCUGUUCAACUCUCUCAGGGAUGUGAGAAAAUAACCAGAGACAUUUGUUUUCAGGAGAGGAUCCUCCUUCUUCCUCCCCAAAUCCUACUGCCUGUCAGCUCCUCUGCCUCUCAGACACCAGUAUGUGUGUGGUAGAAGGUGAAGGCAUAGAGGUUUCUGGGACGAUGUCAGUGCAUGCAGAGAGAUGUGCAUAGGGGCCUUUAAAGGGCGAGAGGGAGAAGAUCGCCUUGAGAGGAUGCCAGGUGAAGAGAGGCUCAAUCUAAGAGGGCCGGACCCUCUAUGCAUGCAUUUUCUCCACUCAUUAUUCUUUCGGCUACAGCCCCUUUAUUUUCUCAUUUCUGGAAAUGAUCAGGUAUGUCAAGGGAGGAGGAUAAAGAAGCAGAAGAGCAUAUGCAUGGCUUUGAAGCUCUUCAGGGACAUGGGGUGUGGAAAGGCCAAAGGGGCCUCUCCAUCUGCUGGGCCCUAGGCCACCAUGCCUGUGGCAUUGCUCCACGUACACUCUGAUGGGCAGCCAUAGUCAUAGACAUAAACAUACAAUGAUAUCAAUAAAAGCCAACACUAAGACUUUACUAUAUGCCAAACACUGUGCUAAGUACUUGGGGGUACAUUUUCUUUUGAUCAGAAACAAUGUAGCAAAAUGGAAAGAGUUUGUGAGAUCAGGCCGACCUUGGUUUGAAUGUGUGUUCCAUCAUUGAUCAC
Molecule: long non-coding RNA, 1258 nt
Filed under: Homo sapiens (human)
Lineage: Eukaryota; Metazoa; Chordata; Mammalia; Primates; Hominidae
Description: HSALNT0358059
Source: RNAcentral